This is a long non-coding RNA of Physeter macrocephalus (sperm whale), 2024 nucleotides long. RefSeq lists it as uncharacterized. Lineage: Eukaryota; Metazoa; Chordata; Mammalia; Artiodactyla; Physeteridae. The record is from RefSeq and is a predicted model, not a curated record. The transcript is spliced from 4 exons.
UUCAAAUAUGAAUUUCAGGAUUUUCUAAACAAUUAUUGAUUUUUCUCUUCAAAAUCCACCCUGGCAGAGAAAGGACUAGGCCAGCAUUGGGGAGGGGAGGGUGUAUUGCUAAUGUUUGUCAAGCCUUUAGAAAGUGCUGAGUUCUGUUGUAAGCACUAAGAAUAUCUCACUUAAUCCUUAUUUCAAUCCUGAGGAUGCUGGCAGCCUCAUUCUGAAAGGAACACUGCUUUGCAGAGGAAAAGCUCUGAGAGAGAGGUAAGGAGAAAGCCUUUUCUUCCCCCUUGUGGACUGAAAUGGAUGUGUAAAUGUUGUCCUGGCCUCACCAGAAGCUCUGAGAAGCCUGAUAAAGAUGCUCUGUGAUAAAGCUCCAGGGUCAGCCACGGUGAACCUGGUGGACUGGCCCAUGUUGUGUGGUCAAGAUCCCAUGUUACACCCUGGUGCAACCUCAAAGCCAAAGUUUGGGAGGAUGAAUCUUGUUUUCCUAUUAAACAUAAUUGCAGAGAAGAAGGAAACCACUGUGAUGGAGUGGACGGAAGAGAGGGCUCCCUGUUGUUGCUGCUAGUACCUUCCACGGUUGGUGAGAAAGAACUACAGGCUCUUCUCUAAAAGAGCACAGGCUCCGGACGCGCGCAGGCUCAGCGGCCAUGGCUCACGGGCCCAGCCGCUCCGCGGCAUGUGGGAUCUUCCCGGACCAGGGCACGAACCCGUGUCCCCUGCAUCGGCAGGCGGACUCUCAACCACUGCGCCACCAGGGAAGCCCUGUCCUUUUCUUUUGAAGCACUUUGUAGCACCACCCUCGGGCCUGUCUGGGAAUAAGUGCUGCUAUACACGUUGCCUCACAAAAAUAAAACAUGACACUGCAAGCUGGGCCACCAGACACCCAGGUGGAGCCCUGAGUACAUAGUCGGAUCUGAAGGCAGCGUGUCCCUGAGCAGGAGAUCUGAAAUGGCCAGGAUGGGUGUGAAAGCAUUCGCAGACCUGGGCUUCCUCUGAGGCAACCGGAAGCCAAAUCUGAAAAGGCCCUUGGAAAGCUUCCGCAGACAAGGAAGAUCAGGAAUAGGCUGCGCAGAAUGGGAAGUGCCUCUGAAGCUGUCUGCGGGUAGAUACUGGGGGCUACCGCUUCUUCUCUAGCAGCCCAGCUCCACCUUCCUGAUCCUCAAGAAGUCUAAAGGAAAAGCACUGUCUCUCUUCUACCCUCCCCCCCACACUAAAGCAACGCUCUUAAUGUUCAUCUGUUUGCCACAAAUUCUUGAGCUGUGUUCUACUAGCGGAUCCUCUUCCCUCCAGAGAAUUUGCCUGUCUGGCCUGGCAUCCCGAGCAGUUUUACGAAAAGUAUAUAUAGCCUUUUAGGAUGCAAACAAGCGCAAGAGGGAAAAACACAGAUUGCUUUAUGGAGCGAUUGGCCAAGUGGAUAUAGUUAGCAGCUAUCAAGCCCUUGAAAUAUGAAAAUUAAUUAAAUUCAGCUUGAUGAAUGAGAAUAAUCACUUCAACAGGCGAAUGAGAUAAAUAACCCCUUACAUAAGGAAAACAAACAUUUCAGUGCUGCAGGUACCAUAUUUUGAGAAUUGCUGCAAUGCAAAAAAAUCCAAGUUUUGAACUGCAUGGCACUGAUGAUAAUGAAGUGAGCCCUGAAGGUCCCACCAGCAGGACUUCUGCUUCUCCCCGCUGGGUUGGUUCUCACUUUCCACCAUCUGGGAGUCCUCUGAUCCCCGGAGGUCUGUAGAUCAGAAGUCCGAUAUGGGUCUCAUUGGGCUAAAAUCAAGGUGUUGACAGGGCGGCGUUCCUUUUGGAGAUUCGAGGAGAGAAUCCAUUUCCUUGCCUUUUCCAGCUUCUAGAAGCCACCUACAUUCCGUGGCGAAUGGCCCCUCCUCCAUCUUCAGAGCCAGCAUCGGAAUAGCUUCAAAUCUCUCUCUCCCUCUGACCCUUUUGCUUUCAGUUUAGCACACAUGCAUUUCUCUUACAUACAUUUGUCAAAACCCAUAGAACGUGCAGCACCAAGAGUGAACCCUCAGGUAAACUAUGGA